UAAUACGGAGGGUGCAAGCGUUAUCCGGAAUCACUGGGUUUAAAGGGUGCGUAGGCGGUUUGAUAAGUCAGAGGUGAAAGCUAGCAGCUUAACUGUUAAAUUGCCUUUGAUACUGUCAGACUUGAAUCAAGUUGAGGUAGGCGGAAUGUGACAUGUAGCGGUGAAAUGCAUAGAUAUGUCAUAGAACACCAAUUGCGUAGGCAGCUUGCUGGGCUUGAAUUGACGCUGAGGCACGAAAGCGUGGGGAUCAAACAGG
RNAcentral lists this ribosomal RNA (256 nucleotides) under uncultured bacterium. Its description in RNAcentral is "partial 16S ribosomal RNA". It matches the Rfam family "Bacterial small subunit ribosomal RNA", at positions 521 to 776 of the family's 1533-position model. The record is from RNAcentral.